RNAcentral lists this ribosomal RNA (1001 nucleotides) under uncultured bacterium. RNAcentral's name for it is "bacterial SSU rRNA". It matches the Rfam family "Bacterial small subunit ribosomal RNA", at positions 8 to 1005 of the family's 1533-position model. The record is from RNAcentral.
AGAGUUUGAUCCUGGCUCAGGACGAACGCUGGCGGCGUGCUUAACACAUGCAAGUCGAACGAGAAUCUGCGGAAAGAGGAUUCGUCCAAUUGAAGCAGAGGACAGUGGCGGACGGGUGAGUAACGCGUGAGGAACCUGCCUUUCAGAGGGGGACAACAGUUGGAAACGACUGCUAAUACCGCAUGACACAUUGGGGUCGCAUGGCCCUGAUGUCAAAGAUUUAUCGCUGAAAGAUGGCCUCGCGUCUGAUUAGCUAGUUGGUGAGGUAACGGCCCACCAAGGCGACGAUCAGUAGCCGGACUGAGAGGUUGAACGGCCACAUUGGGACUGAGAUACGGCCCAGACUCCUACGGGAGGCAGCAGUGGGGAAUAUUGGGCAAUGGGCGCAAGCCUGACCCAGCAACGCCGCGUGAAGGAAGAAGGCUUUCGGGUUGUAAACUUCUUUUGUCAGGGACGAGUAGAAGACGGUACCUGACGAAUAAGCCACGGCUAACUACGUGCCAGCAGCCGCGGUAAUACGUAGGUGGCAAGCGUUGUCCGGAUUUACUGGGUGUAAAGGGCGUGUAGCCGGGAGGGCAAGUCAGAUGUGAAAUCCACGGGCUUAACUCGUGAACUGCAUUUGAAACUGUUCUUCUUGAGUAUCGGAGAGGCAAUCGGAAUUCCUAGUGUAGCGGUGAAAUGCGUAGAUAUUAGGAGGAACACCAGUGGCGAAGGCGGAUUGCUGGACGACAACUGACGGUGAGGCGCGAAAGCGUGGGGAGCAAACAGGAUUAGAUACCCUGGUAGUCCACGCUGUAAACGAUGAAUACUAGGUGUGCGGGGACUGACCCCCUGCGUGCCGCAGUUAACACAAUAAGUAUUCCACCUGGGGAGUACGAUCGCAAGGUUGAAACUCAAAGGAAUUGACGGGGGCCCGCACAAGCGGUGGAUUUAUGUGGUUUUAAUUCGAAGCAACGCGAAGAACCUUUACCAGGGCUUGACAUCCUACUAACGAGAUAGAG